This is a non-coding RNA of Neoarius graeffei (lesser salmon catfish), 118 nucleotides long. NCBI's taxonomy places the organism in Eukaryota, Metazoa, Chordata, Actinopteri, Siluriformes, Ariidae. The record is from RefSeq and is a predicted model, not a curated record.
GUGAUUGCCUGCUAAUGGCUUCUCUACUGCAGUUUAUGGCUAUCACAAACAGCAACAUGAUUCCUGCCAAGAGGACCUGUCAAGCGGUUAGGUGACCUGUGUGAUGGCUUCAUACAAA